ACAUACUCUUGUUGCUUUGGCAGGCCGUGGUCUCCCACUGUGGGCUCUGCCUGCAUGUGCCUGCCAGAGGACCAAACUCUGAAUUUUAGUGAUGUCUGAGUACUAUAUAAUAGUUAAAACUUUCAACAACGGAUCUCUUGGUUCUGGCAUCGAUGAAGAACGCAGCGAAAUGCGAUAAGUAAUGUGAAUUGCAGAAUUCAGUGAAUCAUCGAAUCUUUGAACGCACAUUGCACCCGGUGGUAUUCCGCCGGGUAUGCCUGUUCGAGCGUCAUUAUAACCACUCAAGCCUGUCUUGGUGUUGGGGUUGCGAAUCUUUGCAGCCCUCGAGUCCCGUAGCGCCACCUGUGGGUCCUAAGCGUAGUAAUUUCUCCUCGCUAUAGAGCCCGCUCGGGGAUAGGUAUAAUUCGUAGCCUAGUUCUAUGUGUCCCGCUAUAAAACCCCCAAUUUUUAAGGUUGACCUCGGAUCAA
RNAcentral lists this ribosomal RNA (468 nucleotides) under fungal sp. FW17. Its description in RNAcentral is "eukaryotic LSU rRNA". The stretch from base 118 to 271 matches the Rfam family "5.8S ribosomal RNA". The record is from RNAcentral. Lineage: Eukaryota; Fungi.